Triticum dicoccoides is the source of this 2305-nucleotide RNA transcript. RefSeq lists it as uncharacterized. The transcript is spliced from 6 exons. The record is from RefSeq and is a predicted model, not a curated record. NCBI's taxonomy places the organism in Eukaryota, Viridiplantae, Streptophyta, Magnoliopsida, Poales, Poaceae.
CCUAACUCCACUCCUCUCCCCUCUCUCUCCCGAUUCAGAUGCACUCCUCGCAGACGCCACCCCAAUUCAGCCGAUCCCACCGUCAGCGCCUACGCGCCACCACUCGCUCCUCCUCGCCUUCCAGAUCGCGCCGCCACCUCCCUCCCCAUCCCCUCCUGGAUCUCUCCCUCAGUGAGCCACCGGCGAGCCCCUCUACUGCCCGCGCAUGCACAACCUCGGCUCCUGCUACUCUCCAUCGACCCCGAUGCUCCUACUCCAGCCGGCAUCUGGCGGAGCAUCGCCACUCUGACCCCCUCCCUUCCCCACCCGCUCCUCUUGAUCCCGUCCCCUUCCUCCCAGUCGUCUUCUCCUUGCGACGCCCCACCCUCCACCAGGCCCUCCGCCAGCCCGAGCCCCUCGCUCCCUUCUCCACCAGGCCCUCCACCUUCACUUGACUUGACCAUGUCAUCGUGGGGGAUGGGGUCGUUGGGCUCACGGCCGAGCUCGACAAGGUGGAGCUCGUGCGCGCCCACGACGAUCCUGAGCGCAACGCCGGCUUCUGCUUCCUCUACUACGCGGACACCGAGGCCGCGGUGGAGCGCGCGGCGCAGGUCGAUGGUGUAGGUCGCGGGCGUGGCGGAGCCCAUCCAUCCACCCAUCUUCCCCAAAGUUUCCUUCGACAAGUAGCAGCAACGGAAGGCCAUGGCGACGAACGUGCAGAUGGGCGGCGGCUCUCGCUCAUCAACAACACCUUCUACUCCAACAAGGAGAUCUUCCUCCGCGAGCUCAUCUCCAACUCGUCAGAUGCGCUUGACAAGAUCCGGCUCGAGAGCCUGACGGACAAGAGCAAGCUCGACGCCAGCCGGAGCUCUUCAUCCGCCUCAUCCCCGAUAAGCCCAACAAGACGCUCUCCAUCAUCGACAGCGGCGUCGGCAUGACAAAAUCAGGAACGUCACUGGAUUCUGGAAUCUGACCGAGAUCCCGCCGGAGCUCUUCAACUCGAUGGAGCUAGUCUCUCUGUGAGUCAUGGCAUUGGUGUCUGUUGCUGUGCAAACUGCUUACACUAGGCAAUGCGAGAAUUAAACAACCUACUAGAAGUAGGACAAUGAGAUCAAUGUGCCUAACAACAACCAGCAGUUCAUCAGCAUCCUGACUGGCCAUGUUAACUCCGCGUCCUACUUCUCGAUGGAUGCUGCAUCCUUCCCCAGCAGGCUGCCAAUGGCUGCGUGCCUGCACCCUGCUGCUUCUGCGCCGGUGCCGGCCACCGCGCCCAGUCGCCACGGCCAGCGGCAGCAGUCUCCUCGGCGGACGGCAGUGUGCAGGUGUGCACCCUGGCACUGGGGACUAGAGACGUGCAGCAUAGAAGGCCAGCAGCUAGGAGCUGAGCAGCUGCACACAGAGCCGGAGGUAAGAUUGAGGUGGACCAGAUUGCUAAUUUCUACCUAGUACAGUACAUUUCGUUGGUUGCUAGAGAGCUGAGAGCUACCUAGUGCAUAGAAGAUGAAUCCCAGCUUGUACAAAUAAAUGAAUGAUAAGCAGGCUAAGUAACAUAAUAACCAGCCUUUAGUUGUCUGCUAAUUGCUAUCCAGUACAGUACAUGAACACAUUUACAUAUUCGUUGAACUUCUCAAUGCAUGUACUAUGUAGGCUUGAGACUAAGUUGCUGCUUAGGGUCAAGCUGGUUGGAGGCGGGUUUAGUGCAUCCAUGCUACUUGAUAUUAGAUGUAUUUUUUGUUAUGAUUAUUAAGGAAUACUAUCAACUAAUAUCAAAUAGCACAGCUAGUGAUCUAUCUGGUUCUAGUGAAUGGGCAGCUGCAGAUGUAGAAUACGGUGAUGUGCACUGAUAGUAUUGCAGUAGUAGCAACAGAAUAGCCCAACUCUGAAGAAAAGCUUGUAACAAAAUUGAUGCAUAUGAUUAAACUGAUGUGUAAUUUGUUGUGCACAACUGACACGUAAAUGCUCUCUCGGGUGUCGGAGCAACAGCGAGCAACGGACCUUUUCUCGCAGAAGGUGAAGAGGUCGUCGUUCAGCACGUCGGACAAGGUUCUUCAGCUGUCGGACGAGGUGGAGGCAUGCUUCCUGUAGCACUUCGUGGGUAACGACUCAAGAUGGUGGCCUCUAUUCAUGUUUCGUCGUGAGCUCCAGGAUGAAGAAGUUGGAAGAAGCAAUGCAUGAUGGAUCUAGGAGCAGUAUAAUGCUGAUUUGUAAACUUGUUGUAAUGCUAAUUCAGGUUGUAAUGCUGAUUGUAUGUGGCAUCCUUCAUUGUACACUUGUGGAGUUUGUUAUAUGAUUGUAAACUUGAUGCUGAUCACAUUGUAUGUGUGUU